AGCUUUAAAUAGCUUGCUUGGGGUGACCUUUCACGCAACCGACUGUGUAAUACUGUUUGUUGUAUCAUCAAAGUCAAGGUCAGCU
Molecule: long non-coding RNA, 85 nt
Organism: Syngnathus acus (greater pipefish)
Lineage: Eukaryota; Metazoa; Chordata; Actinopteri; Syngnathiformes; Syngnathidae
Exons: 3
Source: RefSeq, a predicted model, not a curated record